AUGAGUUCCUCCCUGCUGAGCUCAGGUGAAGCACUCUGCUCAGCAUUUUAUACAACCCCCACUUCGAUUUUUACUGAAGUCUGGUGGGGGGUGGGGGACCGGUGGCGUCGUACAAAAAGGAAACGUGCGAUGGGAACCGUGGCCUGUCUUGCCGAGGUGCGACCUCGGCCCCGGGCUGCCACAUCCUUGGUACGCUGCUCUAAGCUCCCUCAGGUGGUCUUCAGCCGGGCCCGGAGGCCAAGAGCCCUGCAGGCCCGGGCGCUGCCGCGUCGCCGCCACCCCAGCCCCGCGGCAGGAGCCCCCCGCAAGACCCGCGCGUGCGUCACAGGCCCGCCUGGCGUCCCGCCCGCCGGGUCCGCAAGGAGGAGCCCGCGAGGCGGCCGCCACGGGGCUGCGCUUACCUCGUCUGGCGCGGGUAGGGGCUCCAGCUCCCAGGCUCCUCGCCGACCGCCGCCGUUUUGUGCGUCCCUCGCCCCGACGGCAGCUGCGCCGGCCCGGGCCACGGCCACGGUCACUUUCAUUUUCCUCAACAACAGCGGCAGGAAAGCGAAAGCGAAAACUGCCGAGAGGCGGGCCCCGGCCGAGCGCGGUGAACGCGGAGCGCGGGCUGGCAGCCAGAGGCGGGGGCUCAGGUCUCGGGGCUGCACGCGGGCGGCCGGGCGGCGUUCGGGCGGGAACCCAGUCCACCUGAGGCGCCGGAGCGAGCCUGGCGCGAACACCUCCGCGGGACGGGGACGGGGCCCGGGCCGCGUCCGGGCAGCAGGUGGAGAGGCCCGCCGCGCGCCGUCGUUCGUCCGCGCGGCCUACUGUGCCUCGGUCCAUCGGGGUUGCUUCCCAGGCCGCCCCUUAGCGCCUGCUUCGGCUUCGGGGCUGGUGGCGGCGCUUCGUGGGUUUCUGGCGUCCGGAGGCGGGUUUGGCCUGGGCGACCAGGAGCAAGCCUCUGAGGGGGUCUCGGGUGGGGGCGCUGAGCCAGCUGGGGUCGGCCUGUCCCCAAGCCUGGGCAUGCUCACUGGUCCCUCUGCCAAGUUGGCGGCACCGUAG
RNAcentral lists this long non-coding RNA (1041 nucleotides) under Felis catus (domestic cat). RNAcentral describes it as "lncRNA (ENSFCAG00000048706.1)". Lineage: Eukaryota; Metazoa; Chordata; Mammalia; Carnivora; Felidae. The record is from RNAcentral.